Molecule: transfer RNA, 76 nt
Filed under: bacterium
Lineage: Bacteria
Description: tRNA-Lys
Rfam family: tRNA
About the family: Transfer RNA (tRNA) molecules are approximately 80 nucleotides in length. Their secondary structure includes four short double-helical elements and three loops (D, anti-codon, and T loops).
Source: RNAcentral
GCCCCCAUAACUCAAUUGGCAGAGUGACGGCCUUUUAAGCCGGCGGUUGGAGGUUCGACUCCUCCUGGGGGCACCU